GGGAGCGCAGUGCGGGAAAUCCGCAUGCUGCGUUCGACGUGGAGGGUGCUGGAAACGUGACAAGGGGUGGUUGGUACCUAUUGCCCGAGUUAACGCGCCAGUACUCGACCCUAC
Molecule: non-coding RNA, 114 nt
Filed under: Nitrosomonas communis
Lineage: Bacteria; Pseudomonadati; Pseudomonadota; Betaproteobacteria; Nitrosomonadales; Nitrosomonadaceae
Source: RNAcentral